UACGCAGGGUGCGAGCGUUGUCCGGAAUUACUGGGCGUAAAGAGCUCGUAGGUGGUUUGUCGCGUUGUUCGUGAAAACCGGGGGCUUAACCCUCGGCGUGCGGGCGAUACGGGCAGACUUGAGUACUGCAGGGGAGACUGGAAUUCCUGGUGUAGCGGUGGAAUGCGCAGAUAUCAGGAGGAACACCGGUGGCGAAGGCGGGUCUCUGGGCAGUAACUGACGCUGAGGAGCGAGAGCGUGGGGAGCGAACAGG
This 253-nucleotide ribosomal RNA is filed under the name uncultured bacterium. RNAcentral's name for it is "partial 16S ribosomal RNA". It matches the Rfam family "Bacterial small subunit ribosomal RNA", at positions 524 to 776 of the family's 1533-position model. The record is from RNAcentral.